UAGUACGAGAGGACCGGAGUGGACGAACCUCUGGUGUUCCGGUUGUCACGCCAGUGGCACUGCCGGGUAGCUAUGUUCGGACGGGAUAACCGCUGAAAGCAUCUAAGCGGGAAGCCCCUCCCAAGAUGAGAUCUCUCACUCCUUGAGAGUGUAAGGGCCCUUGUAGACUACAAGGUUGAUAGGCUGGGUGUGGAAGUGCAGCAAUGUACGAAGCUAACCAGUACUAAUUGCCCGAGUGGCUUGGUCAUAUAACACCAAAGC
Molecule: ribosomal RNA, 261 nt
Filed under: Lysobacterales bacterium
Lineage: Bacteria; Pseudomonadati; Pseudomonadota; Gammaproteobacteria; Lysobacterales
Description: partial 23S ribosomal RNA
Rfam family: Bacterial large subunit ribosomal RNA
Source: RNAcentral